UACGGAGGAUCCGAGCGUUAUCCGGAUUUAUUGGGUUUAAAGGGUGCGCAGGCGGGAGAUUAAGUCGGCGGUGAAAUUUUGCAGCUCAACUGUAAAAGUGCCUUCGAUACUGGUUUCCUUGAGUGUGGAUGAAGUAGGCGGAAUUUGUGGUGUAGCGGUGAAAUGCUUAGAUAUCACGAGGAACUCCGAUUGCGCAGGCAGCUUACUAAACCACUACUGACGCUCAGGCACGAAGGCGUGGGGGAUCAAACAGGAUUAGAUACCCCCUGUA
RNAcentral lists this ribosomal RNA (271 nucleotides) under uncultured prokaryote. RNAcentral's name for it is "partial 16S ribosomal RNA". It matches the Rfam family "Bacterial small subunit ribosomal RNA", at positions 524 to 792 of the family's 1533-position model. The record is from RNAcentral.